AACAUUCCGUAUCCGUUCUGAGAUUUCGUCACACGCCAGACCACAAGGGCUGAUGAGACUCCCUAGAUAAGCGAAGUA
Molecule: non-coding RNA, 78 nt
Organism: Schistosoma margrebowiei
Lineage: Eukaryota; Metazoa; Platyhelminthes; Trematoda; Strigeidida; Schistosomatidae
Source: Rfam